GCGAGCGGUCCUCGCGUUUGUCGGUCGCUUGACCUGGCGGGAUCUAUUCUACUCCCUCCCUCUCGGCUGGAUUUUGCCCAUGCUCGCGGCGUGGGUUGUUCGAUCCUGGCCGGCGAUCGGAAUCAAAGAUCAAAUCAUACAUGUCGACAGCCGCUUGCAUGCUUGCUACAACCAGCUUCCGUACUCCCUCCUGAAUAUAUUGCUCAAACGGCUUCCGUACUUGUAGCAGCAACCAAGUUGUUCUGAACUGAGAAAAGCAAACCAAUAGACGGAAGAAGUUGAAACCUGAUAGGACGAGGAGGCCGUUCCGAAGACGAAGCCAUUGGGGAAGCUCCCCCGGCUUAUCAGCUGCCGUCCGGCGCCAUCGUAGGCGCCGGAAGCGACAGCCAGAAGGACAAAUGAGAGGAGAAGGCGACCAGGCAUCGCCACCAACGCUCUUGCAGCCGUAUAUGGGGUAGUUGCAGAGGAGGAUACCUGUAUAUAUUGCAGUGGUUAUGACUGUGCGUCAAAGGGUUACUGUCAAAGUGGACUAGGUAUCUAGGCCGGCUGGCCGCUAGAACAAGUUGUUAAGUCUUAAUCUA
Long non-coding RNA from Triticum dicoccoides, 581 nucleotides. RefSeq lists it as uncharacterized. Lineage: Eukaryota; Viridiplantae; Streptophyta; Magnoliopsida; Poales; Poaceae. The transcript has 3 exons. The record is from RefSeq and is a predicted model, not a curated record.